This is a non-coding RNA of Mycena leptocephala, 99 nucleotides long. The record is from the annotation of a GenBank genome assembly. Lineage: Eukaryota; Fungi; Basidiomycota; Agaricomycetes; Agaricales; Mycenaceae.
GGCCUGGUGGUGUAGUGGUAACACGUUCUUAUAUUAUAUUGUAGUGGUUCGAAACAAAAAAUUGUAAGAACGUCGCUGGUUCGAAUCCGGCUCAGGCCA